Molecule: ribosomal RNA, 934 nt
Filed under: uncultured organism
Description: bacterial SSU rRNA
Rfam family: Bacterial small subunit ribosomal RNA
Source: RNAcentral
AUAACAUCCCCGGAUCAAAGUGUGUGAUUCCGACUCGGGAUGGGUCCGCGUCCUAUUAGCUUGUUGGUGGGGUAAUGGCCUACCAAUGCGACGAUGGGUAGUGGGCGUUAGCGCGUGGCCCGCCUCACUGGGACUGAGACACUGCCCAUACACCUACGGGUGGCUGCAGGCGAGAAUCUUCGGCAAUGGGCGCAAGCCUGACCGAGCGACGCCGCUUGCGGGAUGAAGGCCUUCUGAUUGUAAACCGCUGUCAGAGGGGAGGAAGGGUCCGUGAAGAGCGGAACUUGACCUAUCCUCAGAGGAAGUGCGGGCUAAGUUCGUGCCAGCAGCCGCGGAAAGAGGAAGCGAACAAACGUUAUUCGGAAUCACUGGGCUUAUAGGGUGCGUAUGCGGCCGUUCAAGUCGGGUGUGAAAGCCCUCAGGUUAACUGAGGAAUUGCGCCCGAUACUGUUCGGCUUGAGGGAGACAGAGGUGAGCGGAACUUGCGGUGGAGCGGUGACAUGCGUUGAUAUCGCAAGGAACACCAGUAGCGAAAGCGGCUCAAUGGGUCUCUUCUGACGCUGAGGCACGAAAGCUAGGGUAGCGAAGAGGAUUAGAUACCCUCGUAGUCCUAGCUGUAAACGCUGAGCACUGGCUUGGAGGGUCCUCCAUAGCUUUCCGAUCGUAGCGAAAGUCUUAAGUGCUCCGCCUGGGGAGUAUGAUCGCAAGGCUGUAACUCAAAGGAAUUGACGGGGGCUCACACAAGCGGUGGAGGAUGUGGCUUGAUUCGAGGCUACGCGAAGAACCUUAUCCUGGAUUUGACAUGCUUGGGAAUCCCCUGGACACAGGGGAGUGCCCUUCGGGGAGCCCUUGCACAGGUGCUGCAUGGCUGUCGUCAGCUCGUGUCGUGAGAUGUCGCGUUAAGUCCUCUCACGAGCGAAACCCUUGUCGUUAG